AGAGUUUGAUCCUGGCUCAGGACGAACGCUGGCGGCGUGCUUAACACAUGCAAGUCGAACGAGACGAUUGAAAGCUUGCUUUUGAAAGUCGAGUGGCAAACGGGUGAGUAACGCGUAGACAACCUGCCGUAAAGAUGGGGACAACAGUCCGAAAGGACUGCUAAUACCGAAUGUUGUGGAACUCCCGCAUGGGAGCUCCACUAAAGAUGGCCUCUACUUGUAAGCUAUCGCUUUACGAUGGGUCUGCGUCUGAUUAGCUAGUUGGUGGGGUAACGGCUUACCAAGGCGACGAUCAGUAGCCGGUCUGAGAGGAUGAACGGCCACAUUGGAACUGAGACACGGUCCAGACUCCUACGGGAGGCAGCAGUGGGGAAUCUUCCGCAAUGGGCGCAAGCCUGACGGAGCAACGCCGCGUGAGUGAAGAAGGGUUUCGACUCGUAAAGCUCUGUUGUCGGGGACGAACGUGGAGACUAUGAAUAAUGGUUUUCAAUGACGGUACCUGACGAGGAAGCCACGGCUAACUACGUGCCAGCAGCCGCGGUAAUACGUAGGUGGCGAGCGUUGUCCGGAAUUAUUGGGCGUAAAGGGAGCGCAGGCGGGAGAUCAAGUCUAUCUUAAAAGUGCGGGGCUCAACCCCGUGAGGGGAUGGAAACUGGUCUUCUUGAGUGCAGGAGAGGAAAGCGGAAUUCCUAGUGUAGCGGUGAAAUGCGUAGAUAUUAGGAGGAACACCAGUGGCGAAGGCGGCUUUCUGGACUGUAACUGACGCUGAGGCUCGAAAGCGUGGGGAGCGAACAGGAUUAGAUACCCUGGUAGUCCACGCCGUAAACGAUGAAUGCUAGGUGUAGGAGGUAUCGACCCCUCCUGUGCCGGAGUUAACGCAAUAAGCAUUCCGCCUGGGGGAGUACGGCCGCAAGGCUGAAACUCAAAGGAAUUGACGGGGGCCCGCACAAGCGGUGGAGUAUGUGGUUUAAUUCGACGCAACGCGAAGAACCUUACCAGGGCUUGACAUUGAGUGAAAGGACUAGAGAUAGUUCCCUCUCUUCGGAGACACGAAAACAGGUGGUGCAUGGCUGUCGUCAGCUCGUGUCGUGAGAUGUUGGGUUAAGUCCCGCAACGAGCGCAACCCCUAUCCUUUGUUGCCAGCACAUAAUGGUGGGAACUCAAAGGAGACUGCCGCGGACAACGCGGAGGAAGGCGGGGAUGACGUCAAGUCAUCAUGCCCCUUAUGUCCUGGGCUACACACGUACUACAAUGGGAUGGACAGAGAGCAGCGAAGCCGCGAGGCCAAGCGAACCCCAUAAACCAUCUCCCAGUUCGGAUUGCAGGCUGCAACCCGCCUGCAUGAAGUUGGAAUCGCUAGUAAUCGCAGGUCAGCAUACUGCGGUGAAUACGUUCCCGGGCCUUGCACACACCGCCCGUC
Molecule: ribosomal RNA, 1420 nt
Filed under: uncultured bacterium
Lineage: Bacteria
Description: bacterial SSU rRNA
Rfam family: Bacterial small subunit ribosomal RNA
Source: RNAcentral